This 74-nucleotide transfer RNA is filed under the name Daphnia galeata. It matches the Rfam family "tRNA". From Rfam's summary of the family: Transfer RNA (tRNA) molecules are approximately 80 nucleotides in length. Their secondary structure includes four short double-helical elements and three loops (D, anti-codon, and T loops). The record is from Rfam by way of RNAcentral. Lineage: Eukaryota; Metazoa; Arthropoda; Branchiopoda; Diplostraca; Daphniidae.
GGCUUGCUAGCUUAGUGGUGUAGAGCACCGUGUUAAUAACACGCAGGUAAUGAGUUCAAUCCUCAUGCAAGCUA